GUUACCUGAGGGAAAGAAGGAGGAUUUCGGAGUCUUUUGCUCUUUUUGACAGUUGCUAAAGCUUUGUUCAAUUCAGAGAGAAUGAGUGAUUGGCAACAACUUAAUCUGCUUAAAAUAAUUCUGACAAUCACUUUCGCUAGUGGCUUUUAACACAGUGUGUGAUUUUCAUACCCUAUGGUAGCCAAAAGUGAUCACCUGAUAAUAUUAUUCUCUAUUGCAUGUAUGAUAACUUGCCAGGCUUGAAAGAUACAUACAAGAAGAAAGUCACGAUCUGGCUGUUAUGAUCCAGUCAAAGCAUGCGGGCUUUGUUGCUGUUCUGCAGGAGACCCCCAAGGGCUGCCAGGUUGUCAACAUGAGAGCAGAGGAAAUCCGGCUUCUUUUAUGGAAGUUCCAUCUUGCAGAGAGACACAGGACUGGGGUUGGGACCAAGCACAGUCCUACAUGGCAGUUAGAGAAGAAAGCAGAGCUGCCUGGUGUUGGGUGCACAUGUGGCUGUAAUCCUGCUGAUGUCUGAGAGGCAGAAAGCCAACGUGUGAAUUCACAUACUGAGAGAAGAGACUUCUAUGUAACUGAAAAGGUGUACACUGUGCUCAGUUGUAUGGCUGAGAAAAGGGUCUUUUCAAUGAAGACAGGUGAGGGUCACCAGAACUAACAAAGGGAACAUCUCAACUUUUUGCAGCAAGCUAAUUUCCUGGAAGCCUAGUAAAACAACCCAUCUGAUUGCACAGCAUGGUAACAAGAAGCUGGAUGGAUGCACAACCUCACCAGGAACAGACAUUAUUUCCACAGGGGACAUCUGACAGUGCUGCUUAAUAAUGCAGUACUCCUGUAAUAAAAGGCAGGCACAGUACUCAUAAAUGGCCAUUCCCCACCCAUCAUCCUUAAAGAAUAUGUUUUAAAACAAAAAUAAAAACUGAAGAACUACAUCUGUACUCAGUCAUCAUCAGAGGCAGUGCUCAGGUCCUCUGCUGUUUAAAGGGUAUUUCAUCUGUCAGUGGAAGAAG
Molecule: non-coding RNA, 1004 nt
Organism: Coturnix japonica (Japanese quail)
Lineage: Eukaryota; Metazoa; Chordata; Aves; Galliformes; Phasianidae
Source: RefSeq, a predicted model, not a curated record